Melanotaenia boesemani (Boeseman's rainbowfish) is the source of this 369-nucleotide long non-coding RNA. RefSeq lists it as uncharacterized. The record is from RefSeq and is a predicted model, not a curated record. Lineage: Eukaryota; Metazoa; Chordata; Actinopteri; Atheriniformes; Melanotaeniidae. The transcript is spliced from 3 exons.
GCCCUUUACUUUUUUCUUACAGAGAUUACAUGAUGAUCUGAUUAAUGGAAACAUGCGUUCCAACAGAUUGUACCUCUGGAGAAUCCAUCUACCUCUCUCAGGCUUAAACAGCACCUUAAACUAAGGGCGCUGAAUUUAAGUGACCAGCGGAUCUUUGAGCUUCUGAGGGUGAUAGAGGAGGUCAUGGGUCUAGGAGCCAGGAUAAGGAAAGGAGAGAUCAAGCUUCUAGACUUGGUGUUUGAUGUCAUGCUCCCAGAGAUCCUGAUCAGCAUCCUGGACGAUGAAGGACUGACCCGGCUACAAGCUGAGUUAUUAAUGGCUAGAAGGAGACUUUUUUAAGUGUAAACCUCCAUUUUGUUUAUUCAUUUU